UUUGUAUUUGGAAUUUGAUUGUUAAAGUGAUAUAUGAAGUGAUAAGGAAAAGUAAGAGAUAAAGGUAGUGGGAGGUCCACUAAAGUUUGUUGUCCCCUAAGCAAUUGAAUUGAUUCAUUUUACUUUGAAUUGAUAAUUUGUGAAGUGUCGGUACAAUUAUCUAUAUAUAUUGUGCCUUUUGGUGAUGAUACAGAAGAGAGAAAUAAAUGAAACAUUCACAGAGAGAUCCGAGAGUUUCAGAGGGGGCUGGGAGUAGUGAUGUUGAUGACCCAGUGUUGAUUUAUUCAUUUUACAGUUUUCAGGUACCGAGGAUGAACUUGGAUUGCUAGUAACGGGCUUAGGUGGAAGAGUUGGAGUUGAGGAUGAACUUGGAUUUGAAUUGAUAUUUGUGAAGUGUCGGUACAAUUGUCUAUAUGUAUUGUGCCUUUUGGUGAUGAUACAGAAGAGAGAAAUAAAGGAAACAUUCACAGAGAGAUCCGAGAGUUUCAGAGGGGGCUGGGAGCAGUGAUGUUGAUGACCCAGUGUUGAUUUAUUCAUUUUACAGUGUAGGGAUCAUCAUACCUUGAAUGGCUUGGAUGAUUUAUUUCAAAUAUUUUAUGUUUGCUCUUUUAAUUAAAUUGCAUAUACGUAUUUUUGUUUAAAUGUAUAUGUAUAUUUUUGUGAAACUAAUUUUGCAUGAAAUUUCUUGAAAUCCUUGUUAUGGUUUUUCCUACUGUCUCACCCUCCUACAGUUUCAGGUACCGAGGAUGAACUUGAAUUGCUAGUAGCGGGCUUAGGUGGAAGAGUUGGUGUUGAGGAAUUAUUUAAUUUAUUUUAGAGAUUUUGUAAAUAUUUAAUUGAGAAAAUUGAUUCUGUAUCAAUAAAAGGAUAUUUCUUUUUGA
Molecule: long non-coding RNA, 881 nt
Organism: Cornus florida
Lineage: Eukaryota; Viridiplantae; Streptophyta; Magnoliopsida; Cornales; Cornaceae
Exons: 2
Source: RefSeq, a predicted model, not a curated record